Sinocyclocheilus grahami is the source of this 726-nucleotide long non-coding RNA. RefSeq lists it as uncharacterized. The transcript is spliced from 3 exons. NCBI's taxonomy places the organism in Eukaryota, Metazoa, Chordata, Actinopteri, Cypriniformes, Cyprinidae. The record is from RefSeq and is a predicted model, not a curated record.
GGUUGUGAUGAUUGGUGAUGAUCUGCUCAAUGAUGUCGGUGGAGCUCAGCGCUGCGGGAUGAAGGGUCUUCAGGUCAGAACCGGCAAAUACAGGCCGAGCGUGAGAGCAGACGCUUACAUGCACGACCUCGCGGCCGCCGUACUGACCGAUCACUGACCGAUCAGGACACGACACUCGUGAUUGAUGACGCACUGACUGUGAAGCUGCACUGACACAUGAAGAAAACUGUGAACAUGUGCAAUGCAUUAUAAAGAAUAUCUCGUGAUGUUUGCUGGCGCUCCGGUGAAUCUGCUUCAUGCGGUUUGGUGUCGGAGCUUCGUUCAGGACAAUAGCGUGAUGCUGGCAGACAUGAAGCGCUGCAGAACAAACAGCAUCACGGAGAUCUGGAGCAGAGGUCGAGGCACACAGACGUCUUUGUGUUUCUUACAGCGGCGCUCGUUUCACAUCACGCUCCAGUCUCACUGUGCUCUUCCAGUCGAGGUGUAAUAAAGCUCUGAUGCUGAUGUAAAGCAGACGCUUCUAUUCUAACGCAGCAGAUUCUCCAGGCUCGUUUACGAUCAUAUCUGCUCAUCUAAACAUUAAGGCCACUUUUAACCCUCGCACAUAAAGCUACAGUGAAAUAAGCUGCUGUUAGACUCAUCCAUGUUGUUAUAUUUCAUUUGGCCUGAUGGGUUCACACACACACUCUCUCUCUCACACACACACACACACACACUCCCUCUCAC